This 231-nucleotide ribosomal RNA is filed under the name uncultured bacterium. RNAcentral describes it as "partial 16S ribosomal RNA". It matches the Rfam family "Bacterial small subunit ribosomal RNA", at positions 118 to 347 of the family's 1533-position model. The record is from RNAcentral.
UGAGUAACCUGCCCUUCACUCUGGGAUAACUCCGGGAAACCGGGGCUAAUACUGGAUAUGACUCGAACAGGCAUCUGUUUCGGGUGGAAAGAUUUAUUGGUGGAGGAUGGACUCGCGGCCUAUCAGCUUGUUGGUGAGGUAAUGGCUCACCAAGGCGACGACGGGUAGCCGGCCUGAGAGGGCGAUCGGCCACACUGGGACUGAGGCACGGCCAGACUCCGUACGGGNGCA